UAGAUUUGAUCAUUUUGUCUCCAUAAUUGUUUUUCCUCCGCUUAG
Molecule: small RNA, 45 nt
Filed under: Arabidopsis thaliana (thale cress)
Lineage: Eukaryota; Viridiplantae; Streptophyta; Magnoliopsida; Brassicales; Brassicaceae
Description: ATSL014560
Source: RNAcentral